UGAAGACUCUGCUUGACUAGCUGAGAGGAGGUGCAUGGCCGUCGUCAGUUCGUACUGCGAAGCAUCCUGUUAAGUCAGGCAACGAGCGAGACCCACGCCAACAGUUGCCAGCAUGUCCUCCGGGAUGAUGGGGACACUGUUGGGACCGCCUCUGCUAAAGAGGAGGAAGGAAUGGGCAACGGUAGGUCAGCAUGCCCCGAAUUAUCCGGGCUACACGCGGGCUACAAUGGUCAGGACAAUGGGUAUCGACACCGAGAGGUGGAGGCAAUCUCCUAAACCUGUCCUUAGUUCGGAUUGUGGGCUGCAACUCGCCCACAUGAAGCUGGAAUCCGUAGUAAUCGCGUUUCAAAAUAGCGCGGUGAAUAUGUCCCUGCUCCUU
RNAcentral lists this ribosomal RNA (379 nucleotides) under uncultured Methanolinea sp. Its description in RNAcentral is "bacterial SSU rRNA". It matches the Rfam family "Archaeal small subunit ribosomal RNA", at positions 960 to 1338 of the family's 1478-position model. Lineage: Archaea; Methanobacteriati; Methanobacteriota; Methanomicrobia; Methanomicrobiales; Methanoregulaceae. The record is from RNAcentral.